GGCUAGUUGGUGAGGUAAAGGCGUACCAAGGCGACGAUCUGUAGCGGGUCUGAGAGGAUGAUCCGCCACACUGGAACUGAGACACGGUCCAGACUCCUACGGGAGGCAGCAGUGGGGAAUUUUGGACAAUGGGGGCAACCCUGAUCCAGCCAUGCCGCGUGAGUGAAGAAGGCCUUCGGGUUGUAAAGCUCUUUCGGCCGGGAAGAAAUCGCAUGGGCCAAUACCCUGUGUGGAUGACGGUACCGGAAUAAGGAGCACCGGCUAACUACGUGCCAGCAGCCGCGGUAAUACGUAGGGUGCGAGCGUUAAUCGGAAUUACUGGGCGUAAAGCGUGCGCAGGCGGUUUUGUAAGACAGGCGUGAAAUCCCCGGGCUUAACCUGGGAACUGCGUUUGUGACUGCAAGGCUAGAGUACGGCAGAGGGGGGUGGAAUUCCACGUGUAGCAGUGAAAUGCUUAGAGAUGUGGAGGAACACCAAUGGCGAAGGCAGCCCCCUGGGUCGAUACUGACGCUCAUGCACGAGAGCGUGGGUAGCAAACAGGAUUAGAUACCCUGGUAGUCCACGCCCUAAACUAUGUCAACUAGGUGUUGGGUGGGUAAAACCAUUUAGUACCGUAGCUAACGCGUGAAGUUGACCGCCUGGGGAGUACGGCCGCAAGGUUAAAACUCAAAGGAAUUGACGGGGACCCGCACAAGCGGUGGAUGAUGUGGAUUAAUUCGAUGCAACGCGAAAAACCUUACCUACCCUUGACAUGCCAGGAACUUGCCAGAGAUGGCUUGGUGCCCGAAAGGGAGCCUGGACACAGGUGCUGCAUGGCUGUCGUCAGCUCGUGUCGUGAGAUGUUGGGUUAAGUCCCGCAACGAGCGCAACCCUUGUCGUUAAUUGCCAUCAUUUAGUUGGGCACUUUAACGAGACUGCCGGUGACAAACCGGAGGAAGGUGGGGAUGACGUCAAGUCCUCAUGGCCCUUAUGGGUAGGGCUUCACACGUCAUACAAUGGUCGGUACAAAGGGUUGCCAAGCCGCGAGGCGGAGCCAAUCCCAGAAAGCCGAUCGUAGUCCGGAUUGCAGGCUGCAACUCGCCUGCAUGAAGUCGGAAUCGCUAGUAAUCGUGGAUCAGCAUGUCACGGUGAAUACGUUCCCGGGUCUUGUACACACCGCCCGUCACACCAUGGGAGCGGGUUCCGCCAGAAGUAGGUAGCCUAACCGCAAGGGGGGCGCUUACCACGGCGGGGUUCGUGACUGGGGUGAAGUCGAAACAAGGUAGCCGUAGGGGAACCUGCGGCUG
RNAcentral lists this ribosomal RNA (1286 nucleotides) under metagenome. RNAcentral describes it as "bacterial SSU rRNA". It matches the Rfam family "Bacterial small subunit ribosomal RNA", at positions 243 to 1520 of the family's 1533-position model. The record is from RNAcentral.